GGGCUAGCUUCCUGCCCAGUGGUUCCUUCAGCUGCAACUUCUCACCCACAUGGUCUGGUGAGAUGGAUUGAGGCCCGCAGGUGCUCUCUAGUCCUUUA
This is a vault RNA of Heterocephalus glaber (naked mole-rat), 98 nucleotides long. Its record names the gene Vault. It matches the Rfam family "Vault RNA". Rfam says of the family: This family of RNAs are found as part of the enigmatic vault ribonucleoprotein complex. The complex consists of a major vault protein (MVP), two minor vault proteins (VPARP and TEP1), and several small untranslated RNA molecules. NCBI's taxonomy places the organism in Eukaryota, Metazoa, Chordata, Mammalia, Rodentia, Bathyergidae. The record is from Ensembl.